Molecule: unclassified non-coding RNA, 378 nt
Filed under: uncultured bacterium
Lineage: Bacteria
Description: contains 16S-23S intergenic spacer region
Source: RNAcentral
UCCGAGUUGACCCCGGCAGUCUCCUACGAGUCCCCGCCAUAACGCGCUGGCAACAUAGAACGAGGGUUGCGCUCGUUGCGGGACUUAACCCAACAUCUCACGACACGAGCUGACGACAACCAUGCACCACCUGUAAACCGGCCCCGAAGGGAAACCCUGUUUCCAGGGUGGUCAGGAACAUGUCAAGCCCAGGUAAGGUUCUUCGCGUUGCGUCGAAUUAAACCACAUGCUCCGCUGCUUGUGCGGGCCCCCGUCAAUUCCUUUGAGUUUCAACCUUGCGGCCGUACUCCCCAGGCGGAGAACUUAGCGCGUUAGCUACGACACCGAGAGGCUAAUCCCUCCCGACAUCUAGUUCUCAUCGUUUACGGCGUGGACUAC